This 76-nucleotide transfer RNA is filed under the name Streptomyces phage Paradiddles. RNAcentral describes it as "tRNA-Thr". It matches the Rfam family "tRNA". Rfam says of the family: Transfer RNA (tRNA) molecules are approximately 80 nucleotides in length. Their secondary structure includes four short double-helical elements and three loops (D, anti-codon, and T loops). RNAcentral also lists the same sequence under 1 other name. Lineage: Duplodnaviria; Heunggongvirae; Uroviricota; Caudoviricetes; Stanwilliamsviridae. The record is from RNAcentral.
GCCACCUUAGCUCAUUUGGUGUAGAGCGACGCUCUUGUAAAGCGUAGGCGAAGAGUUCGAAACUCUUAGGUGGCUC